This 491-nucleotide ribosomal RNA is filed under the name uncultured bacterium. RNAcentral's name for it is "bacterial SSU rRNA". It matches the Rfam family "Bacterial small subunit ribosomal RNA", at positions 22 to 509 of the family's 1533-position model. The record is from RNAcentral.
GCUCAGGAUGAACGCUAGCGGCAGGCUUAACACAUGCAAGUCGCGGGGCAGCGCGGGUAGCAAUACCUGGGCGGGCGACCGGCGGAAGGGUGCGUAACGCGUGAGCAACAUGCCCGUCUCAGGGGGAUAACCGAUGGAAACGUCGCCUAAUACCCCGUAACAACAGACCCCGCAUGAGGUUUGUUUGAAAGCUCCGGCGGAGACGGAUUGGCUCGCGUGACAUUAGCUUGUUGGCGGGUAACGGCCCACCAAGGCUACGAUGUCUAGGGGUUCUGAGAGGAAGGUCCCCACACUGGAACUGAGACACGGUCCAGACUCCUACGGGAGGCAGCAGUGAGGAAUAUUGGUCAAUGGGCGAAAGCCUGAACCAGCCAUGCCGCGUGCAGGAAUGAGGCCCUAUGGGUCGUAAACUGCUUUUGCUGCGGAGCAAUAAGGUGCACGUGUGCACCGAUGAGAGUACGCGGCGAAUAAGCAUCGGCUAACUCCGUGCC